GACGAACGCUGGCGGCGUGCUUAACACAUGCAAGUCGAGCGGUAAGGCCCUUUCGGGGGUACACGAGCGGCGAACGGGUGAGUAACACGUGGGUGACCUGCCCUCAGCUCUGGGAUAAGCCUGGGAAACCGGGUCUAAUACUGGAUAUGACUCCAUGACGCAUGUUGUGGGGUGGAAAGCCUUGUGCGGCUGAGGAUGGGCCCGCGGCCUAUCAGCUUGUUGGUGGGGUGAUGGCCUACCAAGGCGACGACGGUAGCCGGCCUGAGAGGGCGACCGGCCGACACUGGGACUGAGACACGGCCCAGACUCCUACGGGAGGCAGCAGUGGGGAAUCUUGCGCAAUGGCGAAAGCCUGACGCAGCGACGCCGCGUGAGGGAUGAC
RNAcentral lists this ribosomal RNA (382 nucleotides) under uncultured bacterium. Its description in RNAcentral is "bacterial SSU rRNA". It matches the Rfam family "Bacterial small subunit ribosomal RNA", at positions 28 to 412 of the family's 1533-position model. The record is from RNAcentral.